AUACGGGGGGUGCAAGCGUUAAUCGGAAUUACUGGGCGUAAAGCGCGCGUAGGCGGUUUGCUCAGUCGGAUGUGAAAGCCCAGGGCUCAACCUUGGAACUGCAUACGAUACUGGCAAACUAGAGUGUGAGAGAGGAUAGUGGAAUUUCCGGUGUAGCGGUGAAAUGCGUAGAUAUCGGAAGGAACAUCAGUGGCGAAGGCGACUGUCUGGCUCAACACUGACGCUGAGGUGCGAAAGCGUGGGUAGCAAACAGAAUUAGAAACCCCAGUAGGCC
Molecule: ribosomal RNA, 274 nt
Filed under: uncultured bacterium
Lineage: Bacteria
Description: partial 16S ribosomal RNA
Rfam family: Bacterial small subunit ribosomal RNA
Source: RNAcentral